RNAcentral lists this long non-coding RNA (2899 nucleotides) under Sus scrofa (pig). RNAcentral describes it as "lncRNA (ENSSSCG00065024063.1)". Lineage: Eukaryota; Metazoa; Chordata; Mammalia; Artiodactyla; Suidae. The record is from RNAcentral.
UUCAGUCAUAAGGAAUUAUUUGAUUUCUAUAACAAGCUAGAGACCAUACAAGCACAGCUGGAUUCCCUUACAUGAUGUUCUUGAAGACUGGUUUCUCUGUCACACUCCUGCCACCUCAUUAUUUUGCAUUGAAGAUAAACUGCCAGGUUGUGUUUUCUGAAGGAUUCACUAGCUUUCUUCUUGUAAAUUAUACAGCUUACUGCUUUGUAGACAAAUAACCGCCAAGGAAGAUCACUGUUCUGAGUGCUCAGGUUCCAAUAUGCAUUCUCUUGUUCUGAGAGCCAACAGCAAGUAAUGGUUAAGAACACUUCUGCGUUAAAGAAAAUAGCUGUGAAUAUCAUGUGGUUAUUACUGUCCUGUUUUUGUUUUAUUGCCUGACCCGUUUAUUUUUUACAUACUUGAUGAUACUUGUAGGUAUCAAAGAGGGUCCAUGGAUACAAAGUAUACUGUAUAUUUUAAAAUAGGGAACUUUAGUGAUUACAUUGAUAAAAAUAAGUAGCCACAUGCAAUUAAGUACAUUAUGAUUUUUUUUCUUUAAUACAGUGAGUAUAUUUUCUUGGGAAAUAAUACAGGGAGGACAUUUUAAAUAGAACUAGUACUAGCAUAUCAUUCAGUUCCAGUGUGAGCAUCUCUGUGCACUUUAGAUUUUUCUCUACAUUUAAUGAUUUAGUAACAGUUUGGGGGUUUGUGUGCUUUUCUUUGUACUGCAAAUUAAUAAUGAUUAAUUAUUAAUUUCAUAGCAUGGGAGACAGAUCCACAUAAUGAGUAAAAAAUAAUUGUAAUGAGUGCCAAACAAAUAUCCUUAAAAUUCUAAAACAUACUUUUUACAUUCUCUUUCUAUGAAUAUGUUAAUUAAUUUCACUCAAUAAGAUUUUUUGUCUCAGAAUUAUUUGAACUGAAGUGCACAGCAUUUUAUUCUGUGGAUGUAUAUAAAUAUGAGUAUGGUUGUCUGCAGAAAAUAAUAUCACUUGAAUUUUUAUGAAUGAAAUGUCUGUACUACAUUUUUUUUCUAGAGAGAAAGACAGACAUGAGAGAGAAUAACAGAGAUACAAAUAUGACUUCACAUGAAAGAAUUGGAUUUCAGACAUACCCUAUAGUUAAAUGGAGUCACUGAAUUUAAGUCACAUUUCUUAUAUGAGGUUUCUGAGUAAUAGGAAUGUUAAAUGACUCCCAGAUAUAUGUUCAGUAUAUGGAAUGUAUGCACUUACUUAUUUUAUAUGUGCUUAUAUAUUGUUGUUUAGAAGGCUUAGGAAUUUGGAUUAUUUCAGAAAGUAAAUAUUACAGUGGCUGUCCAUAGUUGGUAGACUUGAAAAGUUUUUAAACUCAAACUUCCACUGAUAGGAUAUCUAGAAGACAUGUUUAGAAUGGGAUUUGUUUCUAUAUGUAGCUGUGUGGUCCGUCUUAAAUUUUUAUAUUCUGUUCUGCUGGUCCCCAGAGGUAACCACAUGACCACUAUAAACGUUUUGGUAAAUACUCUUUCAGCUGAUUUCUUAUAUACAAAUAAACAUGCCUCAUUUCAAGUUGAAUUUAUUAGGCCUUCCUGACAGAGACCAUAUGGAUAGACAGAAGUUUUCAUUGGUUUAAUGGCCAACUUAACUCCCAGUAUAGAUAUCUAAAUUAAAUGUGACACUUCCAAGCAAAAUUUCUUAUUAAGUAGCUUAAAAUAGUGAUAAAUUGUUUUCUCUCCAUCAGUAUAGUUCAGGAAAGUCUGACCAAAGGCAUUGCAGAAAGGACCAGUAAGCAGUAGGUUUAAUUCCAACUAAGAACAUAAUUAUUCUUGAAAUAUAGUUUUUUUCUUUUCUUUCUUUUCUUUUUUUUUUUUUUUCUUUUUUUUCUUUUUAGGGCCGCACCUACAGCCUGUGGAGAUUCCCAGGCUAGGAGGCCAGGGAUGGAACCCACAACCUCAGAUUUGUUUCUGCUGUGCCGUAGCAGGAACUCCCAUCCUGAAAUAUAUUUAUUGUAGAUAAUUUUAUUUCUUAAGGUAUCACCAUUGUUACAAUACACAAGUCAAAAAAAAGUAUCAUUCCCAAGGAUUAUUAAAUGUGUGUUACUUUUUCAGAGAAGUAAGAUGGGUGGGGCAAUAAGUGGGAACUGAAACCUAUUCUCUUAGUACAUUAACAUGUAUUGCAAGUUGCUUAUCAAAAGGAUUGAAUAAAAAUAAAUUACUUGCUAGAAAGGAGCAUUACAAAUAAUGUUUGCAAUUCUUCUGUUAGAAAAUAUGAUUGUUUUUAGUUAGGAAAUACCAAAAAAAAAAAAAAAAACCGUGAAGGAAUAACCUAAAAUUGUAGAAUCUCAUCAUCUAGAAAUGGCCAUUAAUGACAUUUUGGUAGAUUUUAUUGAAAGUUGUUUUUUGUUUUUUGUUUUUUCCAUUCAUAUGUCUUUCUCCUUUUUUUCCUUCUUACAUAACAAAUUGGAUUAAUGCAAUAAAUAUAGUUUCACACUUUGCUUUGCUUCUGUAACAUUGUAACAUAAGGAUUUUUCUUGCCCUUAUUGUGUAAAACAUAAUUUUAACGUAUAUUAAAUUGUCCUUCAUUUAAAUGAGCUACUACGCUUUAUUUAGUCAACCAAUCUAUUUUGGGGCAUUUAGAUUAUUUCCAAUUUUUUAACAUGCUAAAGAAUAUGCUGGGGAAUAUCAUUAUAAAUAAACCUAGACCGCAUGUCUUAUUUUAUUAAUAUAGAUUGCUAGAAUUGGGAUUAUUAUGCCAAAACUAUGAAGAUUUGCUUUCUAUUUUUAUUUCUAAUGUGAUUGUAUUAUAAAAAUAAAAUUGCCUAUUUAAAAAAAAACAGUUAAGAAGUCUCUUUUGCUAUCUCACUCCCCAGAAGCACCUCCCUAACUAGUCGGAAACAUUUGUUUUGUAUCUUUUCACAUGCUUCAUGUAAAUUAAAAUACCCUUGUCUG